This is a long non-coding RNA of Mastomys coucha (southern multimammate mouse), 1232 nucleotides long. RefSeq lists it as uncharacterized. The transcript has 2 exons. The record is from RefSeq and is a predicted model, not a curated record. NCBI's taxonomy places the organism in Eukaryota, Metazoa, Chordata, Mammalia, Rodentia, Muridae.
AGUUCUAGGAGGUUCUGAAAGUUUGUGAGGGGAGUUUGUUGAAGGGAGAAAGUCACUAGGGUCCAGUCUACGAGUGUUUGCACAGUACUCAGUCUCUUUCUUACGCCCUGCCUCCUGUCCACCAUGAGACAAACAGCUUCCUUCUGAAUGUGCUAUUACCACCACGACUGUCUGCCUCACCACAGGCCUAAGGUCUGUAGGGCCGAGGACAAGAGACUAAAUUCUUGGAACUGUGAGAAAAAAUAAAUUCCUCCUCUCUUAGGUUGUUUAUGUCAGAGCAACAAGGAAACCACCCAGUAUAGACAGGGUUCCAGGGGCCCAGCAAAAGCAUCUGCCAAACGAAGGACUAGAUAGAUGCUGGUCCUUCCAGGAACCCGGGAGAUGAGCAGCUCUUGAAUGCUUCUGAAUCUUCAUCCAGGAUCUCACAGGGAGCCUGGGGCAGACAGCCCUGUGCAUUUCUGUCUUGGAACAGCUAUGGAGUGCCUGUCUGUCCCACCACCCCAGAGGCCAGUCUUUCUCCAGGCACCCAUGGGUGUUCUCUCCAGGUCUGGGAAGGGUCUUCCCACGCGUCCCUGGGUGUGACAGUUAACGUCUACUGUCAACUUGAUGGGAUGUAGAACCGCUUAGGAGAUAAACUUCUGAGCGUGUCUGGGUUUUCUAGACUGAGUUAACUAGGGUGGGCAGAGCCACCCUGAGUGUGAGCAGCACCGUUCCAUGGGCUGGGAAAAGAAAAAGGAGAGAGCGAGCUGAGGACAGACAUGCAUUUCUUCUCUGCUGACUGGAUGCCGUGGGAGCAGCUGGCUCCUGACGCCGUGCCUGCCACAAUGGUCUGCACCCUCCAACUAUUGGAACCUAGCCCAGUGGUCACCAGAGAGGCUUCACCCAGCAACGGAUGGGAACAGAUGCAGAGACCACAGCCAAAUGCCAGGUGGAGUUCAAGCAACCCUGCCAAAAAGGAGAAGAGAGGAUCGUAGGAGCCACAGAGCUAAGGACACCACAACCCACAGAAUCAACCAACCUGAGACCGAAACACCAGCCAGGGAGCAUGGAUCUGACCUAUACUCUCUCUGCACACAGGUUCCAGUUGUGUAGCUUUAUCCUGUGGGACCCCUGACAGUGGGAGCAGGGACUGUCUCUGACUCUGUUGCCUGCUUUUGGGAACCCUUUUCCUCAUACUGGGUUGCCUUGUCCAGCGUUAAUACAAGGAGGGGAGGUGCCUGGUCUUACUGCAA